RNAcentral lists this transfer RNA (67 nucleotides) under Thelepogon elegans. RNAcentral's name for it is "tRNA-Lys". The stretch from base 9 to 67 matches the Rfam family "tRNA". Rfam says of the family: Transfer RNA (tRNA) molecules are approximately 80 nucleotides in length. Their secondary structure includes four short double-helical elements and three loops (D, anti-codon, and T loops). Further hydrogen bonds mediate the characteristic L-shaped molecular structure. tRNAs have two regions of fundamental functional importance: the anti-codon, which is responsible for specific mRNA codon recognition, and the 3' end, to which the tRNAs corresponding amino acid is attached (by aminoacyl-tRNA synthetases). tRNAs cope with the degeneracy of the genetic code in two manners: having more than one tRNA (with a specific anti-codon) for a particular amino acid; and 'wobble' base-pairing, i.e. permitting non-standard base-pairing at the 3rd anti-codon position. Lineage: Eukaryota; Viridiplantae; Streptophyta; Magnoliopsida; Poales; Poaceae. The record is from RNAcentral.
AGAUCCUCGGGUUGCUAACUCAAUGGUAGAGUACUCGGAGUUCCGGGUUCGAGUCCCGGGCAACCCA